CCUACGGGAGGCAGCAGUGGGGAAUAUUGCACAAUGGGGGAAACCCUGAUGCAGCGACGCCGCGUGAGUGAAGAAGUAUUUCGGUACGUAAAGCUCUAUCAGCAGGGAAGAAAAUGACGGUACCUGACUAAGAAGCCCCGGCUAACUACGUGCCAGCAGCCGCGGUAAUACGUAGGGGGCAAGCGUUAUCCGGAUUUACUGGGUGUAAAGGGAGCGUAGACGGCAGCGCAAGUCUGGAGUGAAAUCCCAUGGCUUAACCAUGGAACUGCUUUGGAAACUGUGCAGCUAGAGUGCAGGAGAGGUAAGCGGAAUUCCUAGUGUAGCGGUGAAAUGCGUAGAUAUUAGGAAGAACACCAGUGGCGAAGGCGGCUUACUGGACUGUAACUGACGUUGAGGCUCGAAAGCGUGGGGAGCAAACAGGAUUAGAUACCCCUGUAGUC
RNAcentral lists this ribosomal RNA (440 nucleotides) under uncultured bacterium. RNAcentral's name for it is "partial 16S ribosomal RNA". It matches the Rfam family "Bacterial small subunit ribosomal RNA", at positions 338 to 795 of the family's 1533-position model. The record is from RNAcentral.